UUAAUUAAAAUUUUGAUUUUAAUUAAAUUAAUUUGCCCUUAAUUAUUGUAAUUAGACUCUAAUUUUGUAAUUUAAUUAAAAUUUGAUUUUAAUUAAAUUCCACCGCCUUAAAUUGUGAAAUUAGAGUUUGGCUCUAAUUUGAUUUUUAAUUAAAAUUUGAUUUUAAUUAAAUAAUCCCGUCAUAUAAUUGUUGAAUUAGAGUUGGACUCUAAUUUGGUAUUUAAUUAAAAUUAGAUUUUAAUUAAAUAUGCUCGCUAAUUAAAUAAUUGGUUAAUAUGAUUAAUUAAUUAUUUAAUUGUUUCGAUCCUUUUGUUUAAAAGAGUUUAGACGACUUAAUUGCUAGAAACUUGAAACUUAGAUGUUAUAUAGGUAUACAUUUAUGUGAUGAAUGUAUUAUUAGUGGACGAUUAUGGACUCGACCAUAUGGAUAUGUUGAAUGGUUAAUUUUUAGUCUUGUUGUUUUCUGGGCCUGCGAGCUCUUAAUUGUUUUAGGCCUACGAGCCUGUUAUUAUUAUUAUUAUUCUGGACCUGCGAGCUCUUGAUCAUUUUGGACCUGCGAGUCUAUUAUUAUUAUUAUUGCUGUGGGCCUGCGAGUCCAAUUUCAUUUAGGCCUGCGUGCCAACAAGUAUAGGAUACAGGUUGCAAUUGGACUAAUUGAAGAGACAAGAAGAGGAGGAGACCAUGGAGAUGGUGCAUUGAUACUGUUCAAUGCUAUACUUUUUAGGAAUUGACCAACUAGUCUUCCUUAUGGCUCGGGAAGACUAGAUAGUAAAAGUCUAUUAUCGUCCACACUAUUAUAUUAUGUUAUAUAUAUAUAUUUAUUUGCAUGAUAGACGUCUANNNNNNNNNNNNNNNNNNNNNNNNNNNNNNNNNNNNNNNNNNNNNNNNNNNNNNNNNNNNNNNNNNNNNNNNNNNNNNNNNNNNNNNNNNNNNNNNNNNNNNNNNNNNNNNNNNNNNNNNNNNNNNNNNNNNNNNNNUUUGAUGAGACUUUUGAAUGCAAAGUCCUUCCACAAAAAAUUAAGUCACAUUUAUGAUUGCCUUCCAUCAUUAUAGUGAAAAAUUAGAGUUCCAAAUUGUCUCAACUUGUUGAGUACACUCAAAGCUGGUCUAUUAGGGAUAUAUUUGACACUAUGAAAUAUUAGAUAUUAUUGAAUGAUGGGUUCGACUUAACUAAAAUUUAUCUUCUAUUGAGUACAUUCAAAGAGAUAAAUUUUUACACUCAAGGAGAUAAAUUUUAUAGGCAUGUUAAGCUAACACAUAAGAUGUGUGAAGACAAAGAUUUGUCAGCUUAAUGAUCUGGGAGUUGUAUGGAGAUACAAUUGAUAAUAGUAUCUACCUAAAUGUUAUAUUAGGGCUUGUUGAGUACACUCAAGGUCUUAAUAUAAUAGAUGGGAUCUCAGCCCACUGGGAGUCAAACAUGGACUCCAUAAAUUGUAAGAGGGUCAUAAAUUUUAGUUAAACAGUGGGAGUAUAAUUAAUUUAAUAAAAGUCCAUGUUAAAUUAAUUAAUGCAUUUUAUAUAUUAUUUUUUCCUUUUUUGUCAUUUUUACUUAUUGAAUAAUAAGUAACCAUAUGUAUUUGAAUGACAUACUAGAUGUCAACAACCAAACUAGAUUUUCUUAAUUGAUACACCAAUUUGAGAAUUGUUCUCAUGCAUGAGAAAAUUGGUCACGUCUUUAAGUAGCCCUUUCCAGAGACACCUACUAAUGUCUCGAUUAAAGAAGAGGUGGCUAUCGAAAUAAACGUAGUGAUGACAAUAGUACUGCAACAUAUGUGAUGCUUGCAAUUAUGUCACUGAGUUACAAAAGCAACUUGAGAGUAUAGAUGUUAACACAUAAUUUUUCAUUACAAAGAGUUGUAUGAUAAUAAUCAUGUGUGUAAGGAUAUGAGACUUCCAAACAACUAUACCGGCGCAAAAUAACAGAAUAAUCUUCAAUCGAUGCUUAGACACUGAAGAUGAUUGACGUUGAGAAAUGUCUCAAUUAAGUUCAAUCAUAAACCAUGAAUUAAGUAGUGACUUGGUUCUGCAAUCUCUGUCAGCUAAAGCUAUUCACAAUUAAUUAUGAAUUUAACAUGAAUAAGUUCGAAUGCAAAAUUAUUAAGUUGCUUAACAUGCUUAGGACUGUUAAGCCCUUUAUCAAAGUUGGUAGUGGGCAAACCAUUGAUUCCUCUAAAGAUAUUAAAAAAUCUAAAGGGGCUUUGUGAAAGCAUCAUAUAUGGUUAAGACAAUCUAAGCGAAGGACAAAUAUCAAAUCUAAUGACCCUUGUUUUCAUUGUAAAAUGAAAGGUCAUUGGUAAGAACUGUAACGACCCAAAUUUAUUUUAUUUUAUUUUAUUAUAAUUAUUUUUUUUUUUAUUAUUUUAGUCGCUACCAACUUUAUUAUAAAAGGAUCAAAUUUAUUGGAAACCACAUGAUUAAUAAAUUUUAAAUUAUCAUCUGGCACAUUCUAGAAAUCUAAUCUGCUAGGAGUAAAUGAGUAUAUUGCGAUGUGUUCAUGGCCAACUAAACAUUUUAACUAAAGAAUUUUAGCUAACAGAUGACAAAAGACAAAGAUACUUUUAAAAACUUAUUUUCAUUAAGAAAAUCCAAACACGUUACAUCACAUGGCUAUGAGAGUUACAUUUACUACUUUGAAAUGAAUUUGUCAGUAAAGAAAUAUUCAAUUAUUAUUAAACAGUGACAUUGGUGUAAGAAAUAAUAUUUAAGUCGAACAGUAUAUAAAAUGAAAUGACAUUUGUCCGUAUUUAACAUCUUUUAUACUAGCAUGAUUAGUGAAUAUGGGUUAUGAAUAUUUUAUCAUAAAAUCCAAUUUAAAGUACAAAUGAAUAAUACAACUCCACUGCAUAAAGUUAACUGUGGUAGGCAGACAAUUGAAAAUUUGGUGUGACAAGUACAGAAUCAUUGUUUUGGCCAUGCAUGUUAUAAAUCUUGAAAAGGCUGUAGAUGCCUUAGAAAAAUGCAAAAGUCUUUGACGUGAACUUGACAGUUAAUCAAUUUUCUUUUAACCAUUAAAAUCGAUAAAAGCAGUAACAUAUAGUUCGAGCUCUAUUUAAAAUGAAUUAAACAAAAAAAAAAUCCAUGUAGCAAAUAAACAUAAUUGAUAACUUAAUCUUUAAAAUAGGAUGUCUAUGGCAAUGAACUAAAAUUACUUGUUAAAAUUAUAAAUUCUCGUCCAGCAAAUGAGGCACAACCACGCAUCGAACAACCACGCUCCAAUAGGACCCGAUCUAACCUGUGAGGUGUAGGAAAAUGGUGAGUACAUGGGAAUACUCAGUAGGAUAUCACAUUAAUGGUGCGAUCCCAAAAAAUAAUUUUAACACAAGUGUCAGAAGACCAUACCGUCGCAUAACUUUAACUCCGGUAAGAGCUCACAUCAUAUCAUAUCGUUUCAUUUCAUUGUACCGGAAUGACCAUAUCAUUCAUAUCAUAGCAUUAAUAUCAUAACUUUAACUUUCAUAAAUAUGAAAUUCGUCCACAUGUAGCCAAAAUAAUUAAACGGGAAAUUAAAAAAAAAUAUUGCACCUCAUAUCCUACGUUGUUAAACUGCUUAAAUUUUGGAAGUCAAAACAAGGUUCACACUCCAACAAUUUCUUGGAAUAAGAAAACCCAAAAUCACGUUGCAACUAUCUUUUCUUUUCUUUUUGCCUUAUCGUGCAAUAAUAUUACAGUGAGGUGAAUAAAAGCUAUUGUUUUCAUAUGAUAUAAUAAAAAUAUCUAUAUAAAAAAAAUGAGGAAACGUGUGGGAGUGGGAAAAGAGAUAUGAAUCAAAAUAGUUGAAACAGAAAUUUGACCCAAAUCUUGCCAACUGUUCACAAUUUAAAAAAAUAAUUUAUAUCUUACACGUGGCAGUGCACCAUAUAUAUA
This 3864-nucleotide long non-coding RNA is filed under the name Olea europaea (common olive). RNAcentral's name for it is "long non-coding RNA (OEUR_LNC000189)". The record is from RNAcentral. Lineage: Eukaryota; Viridiplantae; Streptophyta; Magnoliopsida; Lamiales; Oleaceae.